CCUACGGGAGGCAGCAGUGAGGAAUAUUGGUCAAUGGACGAGAGUCUGAACCAGCCACGUAGCGUGAAGGAUGACUGCCCUAUGGGUUGUAAACUUCUUUUAUAUGGGAAUAAAAUGUUCCACGUGUGGGAUUUUGUAUGUACCAUAUGAAUAAGGAUCGGCUAACUCCGUGCCAGCAGCCGCGGUAAUACGGAGGAUCCGAGCGUUAUCCGGAUUUAUUGGUUUUAAAGGGAGCGUAGGUGGAUUUUUAAGUCAGUUGUGAAAGUUUGCGGCUCAACCGUAAAAUUGCAGUUGAUACUGGCAGACUUGAGUACAGUAGAGGUGGGCGGAAUUCGAGGUGAAGCGGUGAAAUGCGUAGAUAUCACGAAGAACUCCGAUGGCGAAGGCAGCUCACUGGACUGAAACUGACACUGAGGCUCGAAAGUGUGGGUAUCAAACAGGAUUAGAUACCCCGGUAGUC
Molecule: ribosomal RNA, 460 nt
Filed under: uncultured bacterium
Lineage: Bacteria
Description: partial 16S ribosomal RNA
Rfam family: Bacterial small subunit ribosomal RNA
Source: RNAcentral